AUUAUAGUAUUAGUUACAUGAUGGCCAAAACAUACAGCUACAGUAGAAUGGAAGUGGUUGUGCAGUCCCCAGGAGUGGCAGAAUUUAAAGAAAGAUGGCCGCCCCUCUUCAAACCAUUCCAGAUCAGUGAGGAGGUUCGUAGGUGCACUGCAGUUCCACUACAGUCAACAUUGAUGUCCCAGCUGGACAGGUACACUCCAAAGCUCCUGCAGCUGUUUGAUGCAACGGGAGGAGCAGAGGGUCAGAACAUCAAGAACAUGCUGAUGGAACUGAUACAGGGAACAACAGAGACAAAUAUACACGAGGAACUGAAAACUCAACGGUUGAGAAUCUACACUUGCCAGGAUCCAGAUGCUGCUGGUAUUCUCAUCGAGGAUGUCCCAGUGCUUCCUGGUCUUGAAACUCCAGCAAGAGUAUGCUGCCUACUCCUCGGAUUAACAUAUGCCCUAAAUCUGGAAUAUACACCCAAACUCUCAGACAUUUGAGGUCUUCUAAAGACUUUGUUUUACUAGACUUUCUGCAGCCAAAACCAACAGCAGCUUCUUGCCUAAGCUGGUCCACCAUGAACAGUUUUAGCUCCUGUUCAACGUCAUACCUGGGUUUACAGACAGCCGUGGAGCUGAAUGGAGAGCACCCACCAACAAGUCAAUUGUUCUUUUAAUUGUCCUUGUAGGCAGGUGUAGGUGGAGUUUAUGACAAAUGUUUUCACUGUGAAGAUUUUAUCAGCUGCAGUUCAGAAUUUGUAUUCUGUAAAUUGUUGAAGUGUUCUAAUAUGAAUCUUAAAAUCAAAACCAUUUUUAUUGUUCUCAUACCCUUGGACCUGUGUGCAUAUGCUAAAAACACUGUUCUGUUCAGCACUUGAAGAUCAGGUCAUAGUUUACUCUGAUCUAUUUUAGUUUU
Acanthochromis polyacanthus (spiny chromis) is the source of this 900-nucleotide long non-coding RNA. RefSeq lists it as uncharacterized. The transcript is spliced from 3 exons. Lineage: Eukaryota; Metazoa; Chordata; Actinopteri; Pomacentridae. The record is from RefSeq and is a predicted model, not a curated record.